This 72-nucleotide microRNA precursor is filed under the name Melampsora larici-populina 98AG31. RNAcentral's name for it is "microRNA mir-598". Lineage: Eukaryota; Fungi; Basidiomycota; Pucciniomycetes; Pucciniales; Melampsoraceae. The record is from RNAcentral.
CAAUGAUGAUGAUGACGAUGAUGAUGAUGAUGAUGAUGUUGACCAUUUUCAUUUUCAUCAUCUUCAUGUAUA